AUUGAACGCUGGCGGCAUGCUUUACACAUGCAAGUCGAACGGCAGCGGGGUAGUGCUUGCACUACUGCCGGCGAGUGGCGAACGGGUGAGUAAUAUAUCGGAACGUACCGAGUAAUGGGGGAUAACCAAUCGAAAGAUUGGCUAAUACCGCAUACGUCCUAAGGGAGAAAGCGGGGGAUCGCAAGACCUCGCGUUAUUCGAGCGGCCGAUAACUGAUUAGCUAGUUGGUGGGGUAAAGGCCUACCAAGGCGACGAUCAGUAGCGGGUCUGAGAGGACGAUCCGCCACACUGGGACUGAGACACGGCCCAGACUCCUACGGGAGGCAGCAGUGGGGAAUUUUGGACAAUGGGGGCAACCCUGAUCCAGCCAUGCCGCGUGUAUGAAGAAGGCCUUCGGGUUGUAAAGUACUUUUGUUAGAGAAGAAAAGGGAAGUGCUAAUACCACUUUUUGCUGACGGUACCUAAAGAAUAAGCACCGGCUAACUACGUGCCAGCAGCCGCGGUAAUACGUAGGGUGCGAGCGUUAAUCGGAAUUACUGGGCGUAAAGCGAGCGCAGACGGUUACUUAAGCAGGAUGUGAAAUCCCCGGGCUUAACCUGGGAACUGCGUUCUGAACUGGGUAGCUAGAGUAUGUCAGAGGGGGGUAGAAUUCCACGUGUAGCAGUGAAAUGCGUAGAGAUGUGGAGGAAUACCGAUGGCGAAGGCAGCCCCCUGGGAUGAUACUGACGUUCAUGCUCGAAAGCGUGGGUAGCAAACAGG
This 759-nucleotide ribosomal RNA is filed under the name uncultured Eikenella sp. RNAcentral's name for it is "bacterial SSU rRNA". It matches the Rfam family "Bacterial small subunit ribosomal RNA", at positions 28 to 776 of the family's 1533-position model. Lineage: Bacteria; Pseudomonadati; Pseudomonadota; Betaproteobacteria; Neisseriales; Neisseriaceae. The record is from RNAcentral.